CGCGUGGGAAUCUACCCAGUAGUGGGGGACAACAGUUGGAAACGACUGCUAAUACCGCAUACGCCCUACGGGGGAAAGGACAGGGGAGUCUUCGGACCUUGUGCUAUUGGAUGAGCCCGCGUGAGAUUAGCUAGUUGGUGAGGUAAUGGCUCACCAAGGCGACGAUCUCUAGCUGGUUUGAGAGGAUGAUCAGCCACACUGGGACUGAGACACGGCCCAGACUCCUACGGGAGGCAGCAGUGGGGAAUAUUGCACAAUGGGCGAAAGCCUGAUGCAGCCAUGCCGCGUGUGUGAAGAAGG
This 300-nucleotide ribosomal RNA is filed under the name uncultured Alteromonadaceae bacterium. Its description in RNAcentral is "bacterial SSU rRNA". It matches the Rfam family "Bacterial small subunit ribosomal RNA", at positions 114 to 414 of the family's 1533-position model. The record is from RNAcentral. Lineage: Bacteria; Pseudomonadati; Pseudomonadota; Gammaproteobacteria; Alteromonadales; Alteromonadaceae.